RNAcentral lists this ribosomal RNA (254 nucleotides) under uncultured bacterium. Its description in RNAcentral is "partial 16S ribosomal RNA". It matches the Rfam family "Bacterial small subunit ribosomal RNA", at positions 524 to 776 of the family's 1533-position model. The record is from RNAcentral.
GACGAACCGUGCGAACGUUAUUCGGAAUCAUUGGGCUUAAAGGGCGCGUAGGCGGCGGCGUAAGUUGGAAGUGAAAUCCCAUCGGCUCAACCGUGGAAUCGCUCCCAGUACUGCGUCGCUCGAGGGGGAUAGGGGUCUGCGGAACUACCGGUGGAGCGGUGAAAUGUGUUGAUAUCGGUGGGAACGCCAGUGGCGAAAGCGGCAGACUUGACCCUUCCUGACGCUGAGACGCGAAAGCUAGGGUAGCAAACGGG